RNAcentral lists this ribosomal RNA (446 nucleotides) under uncultured bacterium. RNAcentral describes it as "partial 16S ribosomal RNA". It matches the Rfam family "Bacterial small subunit ribosomal RNA", at positions 338 to 795 of the family's 1533-position model. The record is from RNAcentral.
CCUACGGGAGGCAGCAGUAGGGAAUUUUCGGCAAUGGAGGGAACCCUGACCGAGCAACGCCGCGUGAACGAAGAAGUUAUUCGUAAUGUAAAGUUCUUUUAACAGGGAAGAAAAAGAAAUUUGACGGUAGCUUAAGUAUAAACUACGGCUAACUACGUGCCAGCAGCCGCGGUAAGACGGAGGGAUCGAACGUUAGACGGAAUUAUUGGCCGUAAAGGGUGCGUAGAUGGCUGAGUAAGGCUUUUGUAAAAAUGCUGGGUCAAACCCAGUAGGGCAAAAGAUACUGCAAAGCUAGAGUAUGACAGAGGUAAGUGGAACUACAGGUGUAGCGGUAAAAUGCGUAAAUAUAUGUAAGAACACCAGUGGCGAAGGCGGCUUGCUGGGUCGAUACUGACAUUGAGGCACGAAAGCGUGGGGAGCAAACAGGAUUAGAUACCCCAGUAGUC